UUGAGAAAGGCUGCCCUCUUCAAGUCACGCUUUACAUUCAAGGUCAUCUGACUGGUGCCACCUUGGAAGCUGGCCUGAUUCUGUGGAGGACGCUCAGUGAUAACACCCUGCAAGUCAGCUGACUGCGGUGUCAUAGCGGCUGCUUUCUGCAUGAUCACAGCUGCCGGAGCUCCGGCUUCUGCAGGCUCUGUAGCCUCCUGGUCGCAGCCCGGCCCAGGGCGGCAGAGCUCCAGAGCGCCGCUGUCCUGCCUGCACGAGGAGCACUGGCCUUUGUCUAGCCCGGAGCAGAGGGGCGGUCUGAACGUACACGAUGGGCUUCUAACUUGGCAGUGAGCAGGGCCGCUCGGGGGAGUCCGGCUGGCUUCCCGCCACCCGCGGGCCUGGCUGGGGGCUUUGUAAGCCGCGCUGCCGUACCUGCAGGAACGAAGGCUAGGAGGACAAAGCAGACGAUGCUCGCGGCGGUUUGUCCAGCCGGGGCCUGCGCAGGCAACUCUACAGAGCCGCAGCUGUGUGAUCCCAGCUCAGAGCGCAGGCUGCUCACGGGGCUGGCGCCGCCCCCCACUCUGCAGUUAGAACUCAGUGCAGAGGGGACACCAGGCUCACCGGCCCAGCCAAUCCCAGGCCCCUCUGGGUGCGGGGACAGCUGCCGAUUAGCAGGGACACAGGAGCCACGGAGCGGUGAGCUGCUGCGGCUGAGCCUGGGAGGACAGUCUGACUUCGGUCAUCUGAUGGCUUCUGCUCACGUUCCUAAAUAACGGUGCUUGCUAAGAGCACAGUGUCUGGACUGGGCUGCCUUCUGUGCAGUCUUCAUCUGCUCUGGCUGGGAAUCAGGGCGCCAGGUGAGCCUGCUCAGCACUGGCUAGUCUGCGUGGGGCUGCACAGCUAGGACGGCCACACGGUGACACAGAAGCAAGCAGAAAGCACCACUUUGUCUUCUCUUGCAGUGUUAGCGGCACAGAACUUCCUGGCAGUGAUGCCCUCCUGCGCGUGUGUGUGUGUGUGCGCGUGAGUGUGUGUAUGUGUGCGCGUGAGUGUGUGUAUGUGUGUGUCUGUCUUAUUCAUCUACUCAAAAAGCCUAACAGAUACCAUCCGGGAUGUGGUUUUUAAUGAUUUGGAAAAAAAGGCAGCCCGUGGAGACAGCGAUUUGAGACAGCAGCGCAUUUAGGUUAUUUGCAGUUUGAAACACUGUGGUUUGUGAAGCCGAGCCUAAGGGGCAAGUUCGGUAACUGAGAAAGAGAUCGUAGAUGAAGAAAUAAAAAUGACGAACGUGGUGGCGGCUCUGAGGAAGGACUGCCAGAGCAUCGGUCCAUGGAUGGCAAUUUCGCGAGGCUGAGACUGAAUAAUUCAUAGAUUGAAAUUACCCUGCUUUCACCUUUCUAUUUAAACUGGCAUGAUCUGAAUCUCUAAUAAAUUUUCAAGAUGAAGUGAAACGCCAAUUUGAAUCUGAAGAGCUUUUAAAACCAGAUGCUGCAUCCCUGAACCUCCUGGUAUAUUCCACAAUUAUCCUGUGAGAACCGCUCUUCAUCACCAAGCACCAUUACCAGGGAAAAUUACUGUGAUCACAAUAGCAACAACAGGAUACCAUCAAAGGAUCUCUAAUUUACCUAAUUUGCUAAGACUGUGUGGGUUUAAUGCCCAUUGUAUGUCACCAUGCCUGGCACCCGUGGAUUUAUCUCACACCGGGACAAAAAUGAGACAGCGUGUAUAAUAAAUAUCUUGAUUCUGAAAGCUUAGCAAAGAACAUCCUCUUAGGUUACAACAUCUCUUUCAUCUGGUUUUAUUUUUUUCCAAUGCCUAUUCCCCAAAUGUCUGUUUGGGGGAAGUGGUAAGCCUGUCAUGGAUUUGGGGUUGAUUCUUUGAUACAGAAGAGUAUGGACUUGUUAAUUUACACGCCCUCUUUAUUUUAAUGUAUGUGAGCAUGUCCUCACCAGAAGGAAGGACAGAUCCCGUUCUGGGAGGGCAGCUUAAACAUGUGGCCAGAGUGAAACGUGCCUUUCUUUUUUUUUUUUUGAAACCCUGUCUGCUUUCAGGUCAGAGAGCCUCUCAGGGAAUUAAAAUCCUGGGGGAUGUGUUUAAAAAAACAAAACAAAAUAUCUCAGCUUGAAAGGCUUGAGAGACACAUACAGUAAUAACUCGGUGCAGCUUUUAUUAAAAGCAUCUCUGUUCCAUCGAGUGAUUGAAUGAAGCUCUGCCACGGCUUUGGCUGUGCUUGCACCUGCUCAUUCUCUGGGAAUCUGACCCAAAGAGAACUUUUCUGACAGGCUGUGUGGCCCAUUGCAGGGUGACUAUGCCACCCAAGAAAGUGGCAUGGCUCGUAAGACCUCACUGCGAACACACUGCGGUCACCUAACAGGCACAGUGAGUUCUGGAAUUCCACUCUGAGUACAUGAAGACGGGCUGUGAGUUCCUGCUAGCCCAGGGAUUUACGCUUUGAUGAUCUGAGCCCCUUAGCUCUGCUGUUUACCCACGGGUUCUCAGGGCUGUCCUGCUUCCGCACCAGCACCCCCAUCAGAGGAGCACAGUGCCUGGCCCUGUGUGGUGUUUGUCAUCAUCCUGUCAGCACCCGGGGCCGGAGUCCUUGAACUCAGCUGGACCUCCACCGAGGGGCCGUCUGACAGAUCCCAGCAGACAGCGCUCUACUCCUACAUCCAAACGUGCUAAUCCUGACGGCCCCCCAGUACAGCGCCCCCUCCUAAGGUCUAAAGGCCCCCAGUACGAGCAGAUCUCAGUGAUGGCUGUUCCCUCCUAGGGGAGGCACCAGGUCUCCUCAGGCGUCCCCUGGGAGAUGACCCUUGUUUUCCUUUGGAAAUCUGUAUUACAAAAUCAAGUCAUGGAACAGUUACAAGAAUAACUAAAAUUUAAUUUCAAAAAGAUGGAGAGGCAGAGGGCCUUUUCCUUGAGGAGGUCAAAGGCAGCAUUGUGGAAUAUUCGUUUUCUAGCCCAUCUCCUCCUGAUCCUGUCCGUCCCGCAGAGCACAGCAGAUGCCUGCGUAUCUACCAGGGAAAUAAAACCCUCACUGGGGAGGAAGGGCCGCCCUGGGCCUCAGUCUGGAGAGCCGUGCAUCACCGGGUCCCGCUCUGCCCUCCGCUGUCAUUCCCUGUCCAGCCCUCGGCACAGAGCAAGAAGUAGCCAGUCGAGGGGAUGUAUCCGCCCAGAGUCUGUGCGUUCCCUGCUUCUCGAACAUGCGUAGGGUAUUGGGACCCUGCAGUCCUGAGUUCCAGCACAAACAUCCCCGAACCUCAAGAGCCGUGUGGCCAAGGCUGAACGGUGCGGUCCGGUGUGCGGGGCGGUCAGGAGCGCAGCGUGGUCCAGUGUGCGGUGUGGUACGCGGGGCAUCCGGUGCACGCUCCCAGCCCUGGGAGGGGGCAGGGCAGGCCAUCCGGGAGCGAUCUCAGACGGAUCACUGGGGACCCAAGGUGAGGAGGAAGGCAGGCUUCCCAAGAGCACCUGCAGGGCAGCAAGCAUCCUUGAUUCAACUCUGGUCUCAGGAAGGCUUACUUGUCCAGGUAAGAGAGUAGAGUUUAUCUUAUUUAGCAACGUGCUGGCCUGACUUGUACCGUGAGAGGUCUGGCGCUGUGGUGGGGGAGGUAUCCGUUUGUGCUCUGGGCCCGAGCUCGGCAGGUGUUGGGUCCGACCCAGCCCGAGUGGGCUUUCCCAGCGAGGUCUCCGUUCUCGGAGAAAGUGACUGGUUGGUGGUAAUUGUAUUAGUGGAGAAAUAAAUCUUUACUGUCAGUUGCAAAGGGAGGAAGCCCACUAUAGUCUAAAAUUAGGAAGCCCAUUCUUCUGUUGAAGUUUUUAAUGCAAAAACAUUUUUAAAAUAAGCAAGUUAUAAAAGUAUGAAAGUUCAGCUUUAGUGUUUACUAUGUUCUAGCAAGUGAAAAUAGUUCUAUCUACCUCUGUCCUGCUCCUGGCACAUCAGAGAGGUGAGCCGGGGUGUGUGUCUGGCUGAGCCGGGGCGCCGGCGGCCUGCGGGAGCGGUCGGGUGUCACUCGGCAUUCCCGCGGCUCAGGAUGUGGGUCCAAAGUGGCCACUUGAUGCAGCCACCCAAAGUCACCACCUCUCUUUCACUGCACUGAAUUCAAUGAUCAGUACUGAAUGGGUGAUUUUAGAAAGGUUAAGAAAUUAGUACACCAUGGAGGGACAGUCAUUGUUUCAUAAAAUAAAGCCUGGAAUAAACGUGACCAUUUUCUCAACUGAAUUUCCUAAGAAAAUUCAGGGGACAAAAAAAAAGAGACUUGGGGAAUGUGGAGACAGAUGUGUCUGGGACUGAGCACGGGUUCAGCUCGCAGUAAAUGACAGACCUGUGGAUGGCAUUCAGGCCCCAUGACAAACCCCAGGGCGGAUACCGAGCCUGGAGCCACACAGCCAGGCUUGGACUCCUGAUUCUGCUGCUCACCAUCUGUGUGGUCUCUGGUGACUGCUAACCCCUCUUUGGGUGUCGGUCUCCUCAUACGUAAGGUAGAAACAAUACUGCCCUCCUCAUAGGUUAGGAAUAAGGAUUAACUUAGUAUUUGCGAAACACUUAGGAAAAUGUCCAGCACGUAGUAGGUGCUGUGGAAGCCUUACAGAGAGGUUAUUGACUUGUUCCCCAACCACAAAGUGAAUUAAUAAAACAUCCACCACCCAACACGGAUAUUCAAACAUCAGGCAUAUUUCUGAAAAUUACACAUUGCCCAAGAGCUGAUUUGGGCCAAAAUAAAAAUAUAAAAUUUGCAUCAAUUACAUCUCUAAAGGAGAAAAAAAAAAGGAUCUUAAAAAAAAAAAUCCUACCGGUAUAGUUACCCUGGUAUCAUAAGUUUUUGUCCUGCCUCUUUUGCAUUUUGUAUUUUGCUUCCCUUUGUCACUCUAUUCCAGUCGGCCUGUACUCCUGACCAGGGAGUCUGUCAGGGGAGCCCAGCACUCCAGGGAGAGGCCAGUGCCACCUACACACCACAGUCCUCUUCCGUGAGCAUCGUUCCCAAAGCACAUACUGGAUGAAAGAAACGGGAAAAAGCAGAGGCAUAGAAAGGAAAAUAAACCUCGACCAUACUUCUGCCUCUCUUGACACUGACUGUGUGUGAUACAAUCAUGCAUAUAUGUAAAUAAAUCCCAAAACUUGGACUGCUUUGAAACCUACCAUUUAUGAGUAUAUCAAGAGUACAUUUCCAAAC
This is a non-coding RNA of Manis javanica (Malayan pangolin), 5150 nucleotides long. The record is from RefSeq and is a predicted model, not a curated record. Lineage: Eukaryota; Metazoa; Chordata; Mammalia; Pholidota; Manidae.